GGGAUUGUGGGAGGUGUAGUUCGCCGCGAAGUGCGGCGCUCUCCGUCCUCCGCCGCGCGGGGGCAGCGAAAAUGUGGCGGUGGCCUGAACUGUGGAGAGCAGAGUGGAAAUACAUGUUGAAAUAUUUAUGGAUAAAGGGAUAUGAUGUCUGCAAAUUACUCUCCAAUGACUUAGAAAUAAACACAUGUACAGAGCAAGGGAGAAAGAGAGCAAACAAUAAGUGACAUGGACUGAAAUGUUCGUUGGAGAAAAUGGGUGCUGGGUUUAUGCUUUCAGAUGAAGCAACCAGAAUAAAUAAAAUCUUUUUGGGGCUCAUAGAUCAGGUAAUACAACUUCUCAUACUCUGUAAGAGCCCAGAAGAUGAAUACACUUACAGAAACCUCUUCUCCUUCAAGAAGUUCUUCAAUGACAAUUGUUUCUCCAGCUGCUCCAUAAGCUUUCUCCUUGCAGAUGAAAAAAAAGAAAGUUAAGUUUUUAAUAUUUACUUAA
This is a long non-coding RNA of Lynx canadensis (Canada lynx), 489 nucleotides long. RefSeq lists it as uncharacterized. The transcript has 3 exons. NCBI's taxonomy places the organism in Eukaryota, Metazoa, Chordata, Mammalia, Carnivora, Felidae. The record is from RefSeq and is a predicted model, not a curated record.